UCUUCGGAGUGACUCGAGUGGCGAACGGGUGAGUACACGUGGGUGAUCUGCCCUGCACUUUGGGAUAAGCCUGAGAAACUGGGUCUAAUACCGGAUAGGACCGCAUGCUUCAUGGUGUGUGGUGGAAAGCUUUUGCGGUGUGGGAUGGGCCCGCGGCCUAUCAGCUUGUUGGUGGGGUAAUGGCCUACCAAGGCGACGACGGGUAGCCGGCCUGAGAGGGUGUCCGGCCACACUGGGACUGAGAUACGGCCCAGACUCCUACGGGAGGCAGCAGUGGGGAAUAUUGCACAAUGGGCGCAAGCCUGAUGCAGCGACGCCGCGUGAGGGAUGACGGCCUUCGGGUUGUAAACCUCUUUCAGUAGGGACGAAGCGCAAGUGACGGUACCUAUAGAAGAAGCACCGGCCAACUACGUGCCAGCAGCCGCGGUAAUACGUAGGGUGCGAGCGUUGUCCGGAAUUACUGGGCGUAAAGAGCUCGUAGGUGGUUUGUCGCGUUGUUCGUGAAAACUCACAGCUUAACUGUGGGCGUGCGGGCGAUACGGGCAGACUGGAGUACUGCAGGGGAGACUGGAAUUCCUGGUGUAGCGGUGGAAUGCGCAGAUAUCAGGAGGAACACCGGUGGCGAAGGCGGGUCUCUGGGCAGUAACUGACGCUGAGGAGCGAAAGCGUGGGGAGCGAACAGGAUUAGAUACCCUGGUAGUCCACGCCGUAAACGGUGGGUACUAGGUGUGGGUUUCCUUCCUUGGGAUCCGUGCCGUAGCUAACGCAUUAAGUACCCCGCCUGGGGAGUACGGCCGCAAGGCUAAAACUCAAAGGAAUUGACGGGGGCCCGCACAAGCGGCGGAGCAUGUGGAUUAAUUCGAUGCAACGCGAAGAACCUUACCU
This 885-nucleotide ribosomal RNA is filed under the name Mycolicibacterium pallens. RNAcentral describes it as "bacterial SSU rRNA". It matches the Rfam family "Bacterial small subunit ribosomal RNA", at positions 77 to 976 of the family's 1533-position model. The record is from RNAcentral. Lineage: Bacteria; Bacillati; Actinomycetota; Actinomycetes; Mycobacteriales; Mycobacteriaceae.